AUUGAACGCUGGCGGCAGGCCUAACACAUGCAAGUCGAGCGGAUGAAGGGAGCUUGCUCCUGGAUUCAGCGGCGGACGGGUGAGUAAUGCCUAGGAAUCUGCCUGGUAGUGGGGGAUAACGUCCGGAAACGGGCGCUAAUACCGCAUACGUCCUGAGGGAGAAAGUGGGGGAUCUUCGGACCUCACGCUAUCAGAUGAGCCUAGGUCGGAUUAGCUAGUUGGUGGGGUAAGGGCCUACCAAGGCGACGAUCCGUAACUGGCCUGAGAGGAUGAUCAGUCACACUGGGGCACGGAGACGCUGCCCAGUCCUCCGCGAGGGGCAGGAGUGGAAUAUUGGACACUGGGGGCAAAAGUGAUACACAGCCGUGCCGCGUGUGAAGAAGGUCUUCGGAUUGUAAAGCACUUUAAGUUGGGAGGAAGGGCAGUAAGUUAAUACCUUGCUGUUUUGACGUUACCAACAGAAUAAGCACCGGCUAACUUCGUG
Molecule: ribosomal RNA, 484 nt
Filed under: uncultured bacterium
Lineage: Bacteria
Description: partial 16S ribosomal RNA
Rfam family: Bacterial small subunit ribosomal RNA
Source: RNAcentral